GGUCUUAAGGUGAUAUUCAUGUCGAAUUGCAAAUUUGAAGGGGUAGAGAAAUCCUUUACUAAGACUU
This 67-nucleotide transfer RNA is filed under the name Mus musculus castaneus (southeastern Asian house mouse). RNAcentral describes it as "tRNA-Cys". The record is from RNAcentral. RNAcentral also lists the same sequence under 1 other name. Lineage: Eukaryota; Metazoa; Chordata; Mammalia; Rodentia; Muridae.